UACGUAGGGGGCUAGCGUUGUCCGGAAUCAUUGGGCGUAAAGCGCGUGUAGGCGGUCCGGUAAGUCCGCUGUGAAAGUCGGGGGCUCAACCCUCGGAUGCCGGUGGAUACUGUCGGGCUUGAGUACGGAAGAGGCGAGUGGAAUUCCUGGUGUAGCGGUGAAAUGCGCAGAUAUCAGGAGGAACACCCGUGGCGAAGGCGGCUCUCUGGGACGGUACUGACGCUGAGACGCGAAAGCGUGGGGAGCGAACAGG
This 253-nucleotide ribosomal RNA is filed under the name uncultured bacterium. RNAcentral's name for it is "partial 16S ribosomal RNA". It matches the Rfam family "Bacterial small subunit ribosomal RNA", at positions 524 to 776 of the family's 1533-position model. The record is from RNAcentral.